This 513-nucleotide ribosomal RNA is filed under the name uncultured bacterium. RNAcentral's name for it is "partial 16S ribosomal RNA". It matches the Rfam family "Bacterial small subunit ribosomal RNA", at positions 28 to 523 of the family's 1533-position model. The record is from RNAcentral.
GAUGAACGCUGGCGGCGUGCCUAAUACAUGCAAGUCGAGCGAACAGAUAAGGAGCUUGCUCCUUUGACGUUAGCGGCGGACGGGUGAGUAACACGUGGAUAACCUACCUAUAAGACUGGGAUAACUUCGGGAAACCGGAGCUAAUACCGGAUAACAUAUUGAACCGCAUGGUUCAAUAGUGAAAGGCGGCUUUGCUGUCACUUAUAGAUGGAUCCGCGCCGUAUUAGCUAGUUGGUAAGGUAACGGCUUUCCAAGGCAACGAUACGUAGCCGACCUGAGAGGGUGAUCGGCCACACUGGAACUGAGACACGGUCCAGACUCCUACGGGAGGCAGCAGUGGGGAAUCUUCCGCAAUGGGCGAAAGCCUGACGGAGCAACGCCGCGUGAGUGAUGAAGGUCUUCGGAUCGUAAAACUCUGUUAUCAGGGAAGAACAAAUGUGUAAGUAACUGUGCACAUCUUGACGGUACCUGAUCAGAAAGCCACGGCUAACUACGUGCCAGCCGCCGCCGUAA